AUUGAACGCUGGCGGCAUGCCUUACACAUGCAAGUCGAACGGUAACGGGCCUUCGGGUGCCGACGAGUGGCGAACGGGUGAGUAAUACAUCGGAACGUGCCCGAUCGUGGGGGAUAACGAGGCGAAAGCUUUGCUAAUACCGCAUACGAUCUACGGAUGAAAGCAGGGGACCGCAAGGCCUUGCGCGGACGAGCGGCCGAUGGCAGAUUAGGUAGUUGGUGGGAUAAAAGCUUACCAAGCCGACGAUCUGUAGCUGGUCUGAGAGGAUGAUCAGCCACACUGGGACUGAGACACGGCCCAGACUCCUACGGGAGGCAGCAGUGGGGAAUUUUGGACAAUGGGCGCAAGCCUGAUCCAGCCAUGCCGCGUGCAGGAUGAAGGCCUUCGGGUUGUAAACUGCUUUUGUACGGAACGAAAAGCCUUCUUUUAAUACAGGAGGGUCAUGACGGUACCGUAAGAAUAAGCACCGGCUAACUACGUG
Molecule: ribosomal RNA, 481 nt
Filed under: uncultured bacterium
Lineage: Bacteria
Description: partial 16S ribosomal RNA
Rfam family: Bacterial small subunit ribosomal RNA
Source: RNAcentral